CUUUGUUAUGAGGUUUUUUAAAAAUAUAUCAGUGCUUUGUACAUUGAAAACAUCAUCGAUUCUUUUUCGAAAAACGAAAAAUUAUCAACAUUUUCUCAUUCGCAAAUUAAAAAUAUUGUCCUUCUACAAUGUAAAUUAUUGUUAGAAAAAAUUAUGUGAAAUUCCUAUAAAGUCGGUGGUUGUACGAGGUGAAAUCUAUAAUAUCGUUUUGAACUGAGCAGUCACGUGGUGGUAUCACAGAUUAGUCUGUGGUGGUAUUCCCUCUUAAUAUUUCCUGAUAACGGUGUCAUAAUUGAAAUUUCCAAAUUACUACCCUCUUUUCAACAACAUCAGGAGCUUGUUAUAAAGAAUGCUAAUUGUUUCAGGUUUUUCUAGAUCUUUAUAAGUCCCCCAGAAGCUAAAGCUUCAGUUCAUUGAUGAUAUAAUUAUUAUGAUAAAACAUUACACGUCGAAUUCUAAAAAAAAAUAAUCUCUUUAAAUAAUUACAUUUGAUUCAGUUGAAAUGAACAUUUUAUUGGUUACAAUUGCUCAAACAAUUACAAUAAUAAUCCUAGUAUAGCAGAUAACUGAUAGUAUGUUCCAACAUAAGUUAACAAUAAUAUAUGCGAAAGUUACACAAAUCUGAAUGAAAAACAAAUGAAGAUUGCAAUGAUAACAUUGUAGACAUAAAAAUAUCUCCAGUGAUGAUGCUGGGCAAUAAGGACAUGCUGAUCUCUGUGGAGUAUGGGAAUGGUAGUGAUGCCACCUAUUGGUCACCUGCUUUGAGCAACAUUUACAUCUCCAUAGAAGCACACUGGAACCAGAUGCUUCAAACAUUCCAUUGUACGAUAUUUGAAGGCUAGUUAUUUCUGUGAACAUCCAAACAUGAAACCUUAAAGCUAUUUCACGAGAUAAUCUAGUUACCUGACCAUUUUUGAAUGUGGAUAAUUCAAGAGCUAUUACUACAGGUCUUCACAGAAUUGCAAUCAUGCAUAGCUCUACAUAAUUUGAAAAAAAAUCAAUUUUUUUCGUUCCAAAAAAGGACUAGAAAGAAGCAGAAAAUUCCAUUUUUCUUCAAAUGUGUCUAAGUACUUACUGAUUAGGAAAAUCUUAUAAGUUUUUGUCAGACGUUAUCCACGCAGUAUUAUUAUUAUUGUAGUCAAUAUUAUACAGAUAUAAUUUUCUUAUUACGAAAAGUGGUAUUUACAUAAGUGUCAUUAAUGUGAGUACAAUAAAUAUUCUCUUCAACUACAGAUCUUAUAUUUUAAUAAUUCCUAACUACCUGGGAUUGAAAAAAGGUUCAAAUAAUCCACCAAAUUUUUUUCAACUGCAACAGCGUUUAUUAUCAAAAUAUUGAAAAGUAGAUAAUAUUGCCUUACUUAUCCAAAACACAAUCAAUUAGUUUCGAAAUUGAUAAUCUAUAAAUAAAUAUUUGAUAUAUUCUUUCUUGACUAUACAGUGAGUAUAUUAAAACCUAUAAUCGAUGUAAAGUUUUGUUAAAUUAUUUACAGAACUCCCCACUACUAAAAUCGAAGUUUCUGUGAAGUAUAAAAAUACAUUCUUAAUAAUGGCACAUAUAUUAUAUAUACAUGAUCAGAGAUUGUUUCAAAAAAUUACACCAUUUACAAAUUGAAAAAAGCCUUGGUUUUCUAAUAUGGUAUAUAAUUGGAGAUUUGAUGAGAAGGAUAGGAAGGAACUUAAAAAACAGAAGAUAGAAUUUCAUUACACUGCAGUGUUCUUUUCAAUAUUCUUACAACUGAUCUCAAUAAUUUUAUAUUAGAAAACCUAGGUUAUAUAAUGAAUGAAAAGCUCUGAAAAAUGUAAAGAAAAAUCUAAUUCACAGCCUAUAAAAUUGAAACUCGGGGAUUAAUAUCAAAAAGAUUUAUAUUAAUGGUCAUGCAAAAUAUGAUCAGGAAAACUAAAGGCCUCUGAAUUAGAUUCUUACCAUAAAAUGUGAUGAAUUAAAUCAUCUGAAGACAUGCAGAUGUCUUUAACUUUGGCUCAAUUGAAAUAUGGUUUAAAUAAAGGUCAAUCUGAACAAUGUCUGCAUGACUCCAUCGCAUGAUCUAAUUCCAAUAUAUAUAUAUAUCUAUAUAUUCUGUACAGAAUGAUAUAUGAAUGUGAGGGAUCUGCAACAUACAUAAAUAUGACUAGUAAGAUUUGGUUUAACAU
Molecule: long non-coding RNA, 2151 nt
Organism: Harmonia axyridis
Lineage: Eukaryota; Metazoa; Arthropoda; Insecta; Coleoptera; Coccinellidae
Exons: 2
Source: RefSeq, a predicted model, not a curated record